Molecule: long non-coding RNA, 1361 nt
Organism: Herpailurus yagouaroundi (jaguarundi)
Lineage: Eukaryota; Metazoa; Chordata; Mammalia; Carnivora; Felidae
Exons: 3
Source: RefSeq, a predicted model, not a curated record
GGCUGAGCCAGAGGGGGCUGGCCUUGGGGCUGAGGGACACCAGACGGGACUGAGCAGCUGCCCAGACGUGUCAGGGGCCUGAGGGAGGCUUCUAUUAAUGCACUGCUCAGGCGUGUCACUAAGGAUAACUUCUGCUCAGGUUUCAGGGCUUUCUUUCCCUCUCGGGACCAGAAAUACCUUUGGGAGAGGCGAGGAAAGAAGGCUCUAGAUGGUGACUAGAGAUCGCCACGAUUGGCAGCUCAGAAUACCUGAGUUGGAGGUAGUGAGGGGCAGGCCACAGGGGGCACCUGCUUGCUCUGGGCUGCAGGAUCAGGGGACACUGCUGGGUAAGGGCAGGGGACCCUGGGGACACAGGGGACCCUUGUGCUCUCACACUGUGCAGACCAGUCACCAGUGGAAGGGAUGAAUGGGUCCUUGUCCUGGGAGUCUGGGGGACCCAGGAUCCUGCCCAGGGACAUCUUGGGGAUCCACCCUCCCAGGCAUUAGCCUCAUGCCCUAGCCCAUCCCCCAAACUGCAGGAAGAUUUCAGGUGUUUCCUGGGCCUGGCAUUGCCCAGCACCGUGCCCGGGGUGAGAACACUAUUUCCCUUUUGGUUCUCCUCCCAUCCCCCCAACUGGGUCCAGAAGAAAAGCUCUGUUUGGGGUUGGUAAGUCUCGAACACCUUUCUGAUGCUUGCAAACCAAAGAAAAGCCCAGAGAGGGCAAAGAAUCCGGCGGGACCCGACAGUAGUUCUGCUUUUAUCUUACGGUUUUCAGUUUACUUCUAUUAAAGAUUUGCCACGUACGUUUUCAUUGACGAGAUAAAUGCAUUUCAGUAAAAAAGGACAGAAGUCGGUUGUUCCACAGGUGACUACGAAGAGGCUGAUGGGCGCGCGGAUACAGCAGGGGACAGAGGAAAGCGGGCCGGCCUUCGGAGAGUCCUGCCUGCCCGCGAGCCCCCGCACCCCUCCCGCAUCGUGCACCUCUCCGCCUUUCCGGGUUUACCAGUUGCCCCUUUUGGGGCCGAUCCAAGAGCCUGAUGUGUGGCCAGGAAUAGACCCCUGAGCCGAGCGGGCUUUUGAGCUUCAAACUCCCGGCCUCAGAUUGACGUAGCUUAACGGAAAUUCUCUGCCUGUGUGCGAGAAACACUCAGGCGUCACAGACCGUUAAGGGUAAUGAUGAUCGUGGGAACGGCUCAUCCGGUACGGAUACAGAAGCAACUUGCCCAAGGUGACACAGCUGGUAAACGGUGAAGCCAGCUCUCAGAACCCAGAGCCCAACCUCUGAAGCCAUGGUCGGAGCCAGGAGGAAUGGCCAAGAUCUGUUGUGACUACUGAGAGAAAGAGAGACGGCGCACACAGAAGCAGGGGAGGGGCAGAGAGA